This 497-nucleotide ribosomal RNA is filed under the name uncultured bacterium. Its description in RNAcentral is "partial 16S ribosomal RNA". It matches the Rfam family "Bacterial small subunit ribosomal RNA", at positions 28 to 507 of the family's 1533-position model. The record is from RNAcentral.
GAUGAACGCUGGCGGCGUGCCUAAUACAUGCAAGUCGAGCGAACAGACGAGGAGCUUGCUCCUCUGACGUUAGCGGCGGACGGGUGAGUAACACGUGGAUAACCUACCUAUAAGACUGGGGUAACUUCGGGAAACCGGAGCUAAUACCGGAUAAUAUAUUGAACCGCAUGGUUCAAUAGUGAAAGACGGUUUUGCUGUCCCUUAUAGAUGGAUCCGCGCCGCAUUAGCUAGUUGGUAAGGUAACGGCUUACCAAGGCAACGAUGCGUAGCCGACCUGAGAGGGUGAUCGGCCACACUGGAACUGAGACACGGUCCAGACUCCUACGGGAGGCAGCAGUAGGGAAUCUUCCGCAAUGGGCGAAAGCCUGACGGAGCAACGCCGCGUGAGUGAUGAAGGUCUUCGGAUCGUAAAACUCUGUUAUUAGGGAAGAACAAAUGUGUAAGUAACUAUGCACGUCUUGACGGUACCUAAUCAGAAAGCCACGGCUAACUACGUG